Cinara cedri is the source of this 280-nucleotide non-coding RNA. Lineage: Eukaryota; Metazoa; Arthropoda; Insecta; Hemiptera; Aphididae. The record is from the annotation of a GenBank genome assembly.
CUUUUGUGCUAUAAAUAUUAUAUACCUAAUUAACUAAUUAAUAUUAACAAGGUGUAUAUUUUAAAUCUCUUAUAACUGUAGAUAAUAGACACCCUACAAAAACGUUAACACCAGCCCAAUGUAUUUUAACACACUAAACCGUAGAUCAAUAGAUUUAUUUUAACAUUUGUGUUAUAGCCACUAUAAAAUAUGUUAUAAAAUUGAUACAUAAUUGAACCUUUUUUUUAUUUUAAUCAAUAAAAUAUAUACCUAAAUUAAGUUAUUCAAUAACAUUGGUUUU